Scylla paramamosain (green mud crab) is the source of this 538-nucleotide long non-coding RNA. RefSeq lists it as uncharacterized. The record is from RefSeq and is a predicted model, not a curated record. Lineage: Eukaryota; Metazoa; Arthropoda; Malacostraca; Decapoda; Portunidae. The transcript is spliced from 3 exons.
UAAAUAAAUAAAUAAAAGAAAGAAAAAUCAGUCUAGAAACAGGAUUGUAAAAUAAAAAAAAAGCUGACCAGUAAUAACUAAAUGCGAAAAUACAGAUUAAUUAAGGAGAUGAGGGGCGGUAGCGAAAUUAGCCCCCAGAAAUUACAACAUAGCUCAUCUCAUAGGACUGAAACGAAGACGAAGAAGGAGAAAGAGGACGGAAGAGGGAUACAUUGUGCCCCGGAUCACUUAAAGGAGAAACAAGGAAGGGAAAUGAUGAUGAUGGACUAGAUGAUAGACAAGCGAAGGAGGAAGAUUACGGGAAAGAAGAAUGAAGAAAACAACAACAACAUUGCCAAAGUUUGACUGUCAACGUGCUGUGGCUGGAAGUUUGUGAGUCAUUAUAAUGGUUGAAUGACACUCGAUGCCGAACACGAGGUAGGAGUCUCUGCUACGCUUGGUUGCCUCGUUAUUUUCUGAAGAAGUUGGCUUCGUGCGUAGCGCCGUGUGUGUGAUUCCGGGCCAACACCUGACGCUUCCUCGCACUCCACGUUCACGG